GAUGAACGCUAGCGGCAGGCUUAACACAUGCAAGUCGAGGGGCAGCACGUCUUCGGAUGGUGGCGACCGGCGCACGGGUGCGUAACGCGUAUACAACCUACCUUAUAGAGGGGAGUAGCCCAGAGAAAUUUGGAUUAAUGCCCCAUAGUAUUAUUGAAUAGCAUUAUUUGAUGAUUAAACAUUUAUGGCUAUAAGAUGGGUAUGCGUUCUAUUAGCUAGAUGGUAAGGUAACGGCUUACCAUGGCGACGAUAGAUAGGGGUCCUGAGAGGGAGAUCCCCCACACUGGUACUGAGACACGGACCAGACUCCUACGGGAGGCAGCAGUGAGGAAUAUUGGACAAUGGGCGAGAGCCUGAUCCAGCCAUGCCGCGUGCAGGAAGACGGCCCUAUGGGUUGUAAACUGCUUUUAUACGGGAAGAAACACUCCUUCGUGAAGGAGCUUGACGGUACCGUAAGAAUAAGGAUCGGCUAACUCCGUGCCAUCAGCCGAC
This 492-nucleotide ribosomal RNA is filed under the name uncultured bacterium. RNAcentral describes it as "bacterial SSU rRNA". It matches the Rfam family "Bacterial small subunit ribosomal RNA", at positions 28 to 519 of the family's 1533-position model. The record is from RNAcentral.